AUGGACCUGGGCCUCCUUAACUAUGGGAUUAUUAUGCUAAUCCCUAAGGUCCCGGGUGCUUCGCAUAUCCGCCAGUUUUGCCCUAUCAUGGUGAUUAACAUGAUAUUUCGGAUUCUUGCAAAGGGGUACGCCAAUAGGGUGACCCUGCUCGCUAACUCCAUAAACCACCCCAACCAAUCCACCUUCAUCCAAGGCCGGUUCAUUCUCGAUGGGGUGUUAGUGUUCCAUGAAGUCCUGCAUGAAGUCCACGCAAAGCGCCAGCGUGCGGUCUUUUUAAAGCUGGACUUCCAUAAAGCUUAUGACACGGUUCGGUGGUCCUUCCUUCACGAAGUCCUCCUCCGUAAGGGCUUCGACGAUCGGUGGAUCACCCGUGUCAUGCAGCUUGUCUCGUGCGGUCGGACCGUAAUAAACAUCACUGACAAGAUUGGCCCCUUCUUCCCCAUCCUAUGUGGGGUUCGCCAGGGCAACCCCUUCUCCCCGUGCCUCUUCUACAUGGUGGUUGAUGCUCUGGCAGCUAUCCUCGAUAAGGCAAAGGCUGCUGGCCAUAUUCGUGGGGUGGUUCCCCAUCUGGUGGGAGGGGGAGGGGUCUCCCUCCUUUCGUACACAUAUGACACCAUCAUCAUGAUUGAGGGUUCGGAUUCUGACAUCGCCAACCUUAAGUUCCUCCUCCUCUGA
This 675-nucleotide ribosomal RNA is filed under the name Triticum aestivum (bread wheat). RNAcentral's name for it is "partial small subunit ribosomal RNA". Lineage: Eukaryota; Viridiplantae; Streptophyta; Magnoliopsida; Poales; Poaceae. The record is from RNAcentral.